Oxyura jamaicensis (ruddy duck) is the source of this 4613-nucleotide long non-coding RNA. RefSeq lists it as uncharacterized. The record is from RefSeq and is a predicted model, not a curated record. The transcript has 3 exons. NCBI's taxonomy places the organism in Eukaryota, Metazoa, Chordata, Aves, Anseriformes, Anatidae.
AAAAAAGGUAACCAUGCGGUUUCAGUUUGUGAUAAGUUGUGAUGUUUCCGUUGUUGCUUUUAACAUUUUGUAUUAAUGAUACAGAAAGAAGCACUGAUUCUUAUUUAGUUCUAAAAGGAAAAAAAAAAAAAGCUGUGCCUCAUUGCUUGGCAGACUGCUUGGACUUUUGAAUACUGUCAUGCAAGGUAGUUUCCUUCUCAGACAACCUCUGCUUGAUUAAUUGAAAGUGCUCAUGGUAGAACAGGCUUAAAAAAAUAAAAUUAAAAAACCUCUUAUUUUGCUGCACAAGGUAACUAAUGGUUAUUUUUUCUAAGUAAUAAAAAGCCUCUUUUUUAAAGAAAAUAAAAGUAGGGAGAAAGUGUGUGCACACAUGAGCAAGGAGAACAUCUUUCACCAAAUGUAUCUGUGCUGCCUGUUCAUAAAACGUGACGUAGUGUAUGUCCAGGCUGAAAAGUUGGAGCAAGGUUUUAAGAAGUGUUUAAUGUGUGAAGUAGAUCAGUUGUUUUAUUUUUGACUUCUUUAGCAGAUGCUUGUCCAGUAAAAUAUAGACUGGAGAAAAAAAAAAUAAAAUAAACCACUGAAAUAGAGCCAAGACUGGAUAAAAGCAGAGGACAUUUCUGCAAAAUCAUUAGAGUUCUUGGUUAGAGAAUUAAGUAGGACAGACACCUGGUGAGAGAGAGAGAGAAAGCUAUAAAAAUCUGUGUAUACAAAUGAGAAUUUUAAAAGCAUAGACUAGCAAAGAAGAACAUUUUAUAUUAAACAAUACCCUGGGAAAAGAUGGAAUGGUGAAAUAGUGUAGUGAGUAUUAUAAACUAUGUAGGAAAAAUGAAUUAGAGUAAAGAGUUGGAUUACAAAUAAUGUGCCAAAUGUAGCGAGCGUCACACCUAACUUCUCUAGCUUACAAGAAGAAAGCAUUAGCAGAUAAUGACAGAAGUGCUUGAGCAGGCAAACUUGUAAAAAUAGCGUUAUCAGAUUCUACCUGCCUUGUGUUCCAGAACACUUAAGGAUUCUUAUAAACUCCUUUCUUGCAGGAAUUGAAUCCAUCUCAAUAUAACAAAACAGAAUACCAAAAACAAACAACAAAAAAACAGGGAAGCAUAGGGGGUAACAUAGCUGUAUUAGAGAGGAAGAUUAACAAGAGUUUUGAUUCCACACCUCCCAGCUUCAAAUUACUUUGCUGUCAUUUCAUUUUAUGUCAUCUGCAACAUCCAUUCCAGUCCCCAAUGUGCUAAGUGGAGGUGGUGUGUUUCUGGUGCUGCCAUGUAGAUUUGCAUUCAGCAGUUGUAGUAACAGUGCUGAGGAGUGGCUCAUGUUGUGAAAUGCAUCUUGGCUCUAGAACAGGGUGGCUCAGAUGAGGCUGCUAAAUCUAUGUCUGCAGGUGUGGUUUUGGGAAGGCCAUUACAUUUUAUCUGUAGCUUUAUUCUGUCUCUUAAUAGAGACCUUAUCUGAUGUACAAGAGUGGGGAAAGAUUAUCUGAUGUCUGCUGGAUGCCAGUUUUGUGCCUUCCUCUGGCUGAGGUCAGGUACCUGACAGUUAGCAGCCAGCCUGGUGAUGAAGAGCUGAGACUCCCUCAUAUUUAGCCUUUUACCUUAUCUUCCUGGUCUAAGCUCAGAGGGAAAAUAGUCGUGUUGAUUUUUACCUCUUCUCUCCCAGUGAACACAUACAUAAAUUAUCUCUGAGAGGACUUGUCUGGUUAAGGGUCAAACAUGCAAAUGAAUGGGGAGGGAUGCCCCUCCUGUAGCAGGUGAAAGGGGCAGAUUCAAGUUAUACACCAGUUGAUAGUUUCAAGAAAAAUGUGAUUAGGUUGAAUCAUUCAGAAAUCAUUUCUGCUUUAAACCCAUCUCAGAGAAAAUGGCCUUUGCAGAUUCUUCCAGUGCUGUACAAAGUCAUGCGUUGCUGGAGACUUUAUGGCAUGUCCUCUGUGUGAAAUAAUUUGGGAAAAGAUCCGUCUCCCUCUAAUUUGGUAACAACCCCCAAGCCUACAGUUGCUAUCUUUCGUAAAGUGGGUCACAUUCCUUUCAGGAUGAAAAUAAAACAUGGGAAUUUACACUGUAUAUAAAUAUUUCCAUACUUGAGGUAUCUCUCAAGUAUUCAGAAGAUUCUUUGGCAGCAUUAGCCAAUGCCAUGCCCACAGUCAUAUUAAACCUCAGACUAGAGCCAUAUUAAACUAAACAGAAGGUUCAAGAGACUUUUUGAGGAAUUGCCUUAAAUUCCUUCUUUUUUUUUCCCUUCCUCCUCCAAGAUAUGCCUGUUACUACUGCACUUUAUGACCUGCCUAACAGGCAUCCUUCUAGGGCUUCAUGAUCUUCCCCUGGAGGAAAUUCCAGGUGCAGAGGUGUUUACUGACUUCAUAUUUCAUGAUUUCUCCUUGUUUACUUUGUCCAAUGAAAGUACUUGGUAAAUGAGAACCUUUCCUAGCAUUGAGAAUUUGAAUGCCAGCUCUGAGAGACUUAAGAUGUAGAUUAUACCAUAGAGUGUUUGUGGGCAUCCUUCAGACCUAUCGAUAUGUGGAAGGUUCUUUGGGAAGAUAAGCAGUCAAGAUUAUCACUUUCAAUGUUAAACACCAUGAAAUGACAGAGGAGGAUUACAUCUCCCUUAAUUAGAAACUUAAUGCUUAACAGAGGGUGUAGCUCAUUUGGCAGCAUCCAUGAGAUGUCUAGGGAAUUACUUGUUCCAUAUUUUAAUAGUUUUAUGAUUUUGUUUGUGAUUUCAUCAUUGUAAUCAGUAGUAACCAAAGCACUAAAACUGUAAUGACACUUCACCAAAUGCUACUUUUUAAAUGAAAAAUGAACCAAGAAAAAUAAAAUUUAUUUUGUAAGGGAUAUUUACUAUGUUUAGAUAUAUACUAAGGCCACAAAGUGAACUCUUUUCCUCUAAGGACAUAACAUUCAUAACAUAUUUACUCUUAAUUUAUAUUUACUCGUUUUCUAGUAAUUCAAAAACAAAUCUCAAAACCUCGUAAAUCAUCAGCCAGGGCAGUAACUUUGAAAAUAGCACUGCUACACCAUCACCUUGUACAUACGCUUCUCCAAAAUUAAAUGUCAUUAUCUCCUUUCUAAAAAUGUGAUAAUGGACUGUGUGCUUUGGAUUUAAAUGGCAUCCCACUUAAACACUCUGUAGGGGCAAAUUACAUACAUAAGAUAAGUGUACCUAGCAGAUGCAAAAAAUAAAUAAUUUUAUAAAAUCUGAUUUUAAAAUUAUUUUUAUGUCCUAAAAUAAUAAUAAUGGUAAUCCAGUGUUAUACCCAAGUAUGGUUUUUUUUUUUUUUUAGUUUUAUGAACAGGAUGAAUUAUUUAUAGCAUAAUUUUUUUACUGUGCUACCUGCAGGGUAAGGUGCUUCCAGGAUGUCAAGAAUUUUGUCACUUGAAUAUAUUCUGCAAAGCUGGCAGCUUUGUAUUUAUGUAUUCAUAGUUGGUGUACUACUCCUAAAUGUUUGGAAUGUAAUAGUCUUUUUUUGGCAGUAGGAUCUUAGGAUGGAAGUACAGUUUGGCACAUAAAAGCAAAAAGUUGUAAAUUACUACAGUACUAACCUGACUAAACAACCAUAGUUCCAAUCUGAUUCUUAAAGAAAUACAUUAUUGAACUCUGUCUAAUUUGUUCCUAAUUCACCCGUAGAUUAAGGCAAGUUAAAUUGCCAAGUCAAGUUAAAUAGUGUAAGGUUUGAGGAGGAGCAAGUAUUGGUAGUUUUCACAACCUUUCAUCUGUGAAGAGCAGGAAAACAAAUCUGAUAUUAGAGACACUACUUUUAGUAACUUCUUUUGUUGCUAAAGCUAGAAGUAUGCAAAGAAAGUUCAUAGCAAUAUAAUACCUUUCUUAAUCUGCCCUAGAAGACCAAGCUCUCCUGAAAAGGGAAUGCUUGGAAACGUAGGUGUUUUUGUUUUUUUUUGUUUGUUUGUUUGUUUUUAUGAGACCAUAUUUUUUUCUAUCUUAAACAUUCUGGAUAUGCUUUGUGAAAAAUAGACCAUGGUUAUCCCGUCUGCUGUUUUCGGUUUGCACAGGUCAGUACCUUUCUCUGCUUACACACUUACAUAGUCAUCAUCAGCAAUAUGUCUUUUUACUUCCCUUUUACACUUGAACUUCUGCACUUGAACAUCUUACCUGGGAGAGCAUUCGAAAGUCAUGGCUGCAGCAGGGCAAUGUUUUUUUCAGCUGACUGGAUAGUUGAUACAUACAUAUGUACCACAAAACUGGAGACAAUAAUCAUUUUCACCUUUCCUAAAUUGGUAAAACCAUAUGAAUCACUAACUUUUCUCACUGCUUUACAGAGCCUAUUUUUUUAAAAUUGAGUAUGUUUGCAUCAUAGAGGGUAAAAAAAAAAAAAAAAAGCUGUGUAUGAAAUAUUAACAUUUUGUAGGGAAAAAACUGUAGUUAUCUUCUUGAUAAAUGUUGAAUUCAGGGAUAUUUAAUAUUUGGCCAUCAAAUUUGUGACUAUCAUUUAACAUACACUGAGGGGGGCUUGCAAAAUUGGGAGACUGCAGUUAUAUUGCUAAAUAUGUUCUACUAAACUUUAUUCAGGCUUCUGGCUUGCAUUAGCAGUUGAGCUUUGCAAAAAUGGCUGAAGCUUGGGUGGCUGUGAAUGUCGAGUUGCAGAAGUCUACUGCUGACAAUAUUAA